CCCUUAGACGUUCUGGGCCGCACGCGCGCUACACUGACCAGUGCAACAAGCAUCCGUCCUUGGCCGACAGGCCCGGGCAAUCUUUGAACGCUGGUCGUGAUGGGGAUAGACUUUUGCAAUUUUUGGUCUUCAACGAGGAAUUCCUAGUAAACGCAAGUCAUCAACUUGCAUUGAUUACGUCCCUGCCCUUUGUACACACCGCCCGUCACCUACCGAUUGAAUGGUCCGGUGAAGCCUCCGGAUUGGCGCGCACCUCGGUGCCGCCGAGAAGUUGGCUAAACCUUACCAUUUAGAGGAAGGUGAAGUCGUAACA
RNAcentral lists this ribosomal RNA (313 nucleotides) under uncultured eukaryote. RNAcentral's name for it is "partial 18S ribosomal RNA". It matches the Rfam family "Eukaryotic small subunit ribosomal RNA", at positions 1470 to 1796 of the family's 1831-position model. The record is from RNAcentral.